This 429-nucleotide ribosomal RNA is filed under the name Chloroflexota bacterium. RNAcentral describes it as "Chloroflexi bacterium partial 16S ribosomal RNA". It matches the Rfam family "Bacterial small subunit ribosomal RNA", at positions 355 to 776 of the family's 1533-position model. Lineage: Bacteria; Bacillati; Chloroflexota. The record is from RNAcentral.
AGGGGAAUAUUGCACAAUGGGCGCAAGCCUGAUGCAGCCAUGCCGCGUGUAUGAAGAAGGCCUUCGGGUUGUAAAGUACUUUCAGCGGGGAGGAAGGGAGUAAAGUUAAUACCUUUGCUCAUUGACGUUACCCGCAGAAGAAGCACCGGCUAACUCCGUGCCAGCAGCCGCGGUAAUACGGAGGGUGCAAGCGUUAAUCGGAAUUACUGGGCGUACAGCGCACGCAGGCGGUUUGUUAAGUCAGAUGUGAAAUCCCCGGGCUCAACCUGGGAACUGCAUCUGAUACUGGCAAGCUUGAGUCUCGUAGAGGGGGGUAGCAUUCCAGGUGUAGCUGUGAAAUGCGUAGAUAUCUGGAGGAAUACCGGUGGCGAAGGCGGCCCCCUGGACGAAGACUGACGCUCAGGUGCGAAAGCGUGGGGAGCAAACAGG